Molecule: long non-coding RNA, 1512 nt
Filed under: Salmo salar (Atlantic salmon)
Lineage: Eukaryota; Metazoa; Chordata; Actinopteri; Salmoniformes; Salmonidae
Description: lncRNA (ENSSSAG00000094837.1)
Source: RNAcentral
GAAAACAAGACAUGUUAUCAAGAACAAGACACAAUGAGACUAAAUGAGUAACCUAGGAUUCCCUACAUGCAGCUUCUGGUCCUUGUUGCUAUCUGACCGUCCAGGACCGUAACAACGCAGGCCUUCUGCCCCCUCGACGAGACGAACAUCGUUCUCAUGACGUUGUCAGCCAUCCCCUCUAUAGUUACUGGUCUCUUCAAGACAACACACACAGCAUGGUCUACAGCAAAAUGACAAACAGCCUUAGUUUGGUCAAUGUGGAUGAUAAUAGAUGUAUUAUAGACUUACAAGACAGCAAUUUGCUGCUCAUUGAUAGAGUCUGCUGAGAGUCAGUCAGUGGGUUAGCCAGAAUACAGUAGACCACUGUCAACAGUCUAGUACGAGUGCCUUGGCUUCUCUAGCUACUGAAAGACAGACAGAAUUAUCAAACACUAUUGACUGUGAGAGCUGGACAGACAGAAAGACAGACAGCCAGAAAGAAAGACAGAAAGACAGCCAGCAAGACAUCCAACCAGUCAGAAAGACAGACAGCUAGCCAGACAUGGGUAAAACAGUCAGUCCCACUCAGAGCAGCCUUCACUCAUCCAACAGAUUUUCAUCAGACAGACAGUCGUACACAUUGAACUGAGGGACGUGACUGAAGUCACCCAUCUCCUCACACCAUGACGGUUCCAGUAGAUUAGUGGUUUAGACCAGGGCCACCAGUCUGUGGGAGAAGAGAGACUGUGACCUACCGAUGCUGUGGUGUUACAGCAGCCCAAACCAACACAGCUGUGUGGCGCAGCCUAAACCCUGACAGGAAGGAGCUUCCACUCCAACUACAAUGGACGAAUGCACAUCCACACACAAAGUCUGACUGACUCAAAUGAACAUGUAAUGGUACACUGUUGGUACACUGGGCAGAGAGGUCUGUAGACCUAGAGGAGACAGUGUAGAGGUCUGUAGACCUAGAGGAGACAGUGUAGAGGUCUGUAGACCUAGAGGAGACAGUGUAGAGACACUGGUACACUGGGCAGAGAGGUCUGUAGACCUAGAGGAGACAGUGUAGAGACACUGGUACACUGGGCAGAGAGGUCUGUAGACCUAGAGGAGACAGUGUAGAGACACUGGUACACUGGACAGAGAGGUCUGUAGACCUAGAGGAGACAGUGUAGAGACACUGUAGGUACAAUGUACCCAUCAUAGGGGGAACCCUUAUCGUGACUAACCCACACACACACACACACACACACACACACACACACACACACACACACACACACACACACACACACACACACACACACACACACACACACACACACACACACACACACACACUAGUGGAAAGGAGGUUACAGGAAGCUAGUGCCAUCAAAUGAAAAACCCUUAUCAUGUAGGAACAGAGACAGACAUGGUUGAGAGAAGAAGCACAAAGGAUUGAAGGGAGAGGUCUGGCAUGAGGCUGAAGAUACUAGACUGGCCCUACAUUCUCUAGAUUCAAUCAAUUAACUGUAGUGUAGUCACUCACAG